Molecule: ribosomal RNA, 468 nt
Filed under: uncultured bacterium
Lineage: Bacteria
Description: partial 16S ribosomal RNA
Rfam family: Bacterial small subunit ribosomal RNA
Source: RNAcentral
GAUGAACGCUGACAGAAUGCUUAACACAUGCAAGUCUACUUGAAUUUGGGUUUUUUAACUUAGAUUUGGGUGGCGGACGGGUGAGUAACGCGUAAAGAACUUGCCUCACAGUUAGGGACAACAUUUGGAAACGAAUGCUAGUACCUGAUAUUAUGAAUAUAUGGCAUCAUAUAAUUAUGAAAGCUAUAAGCGCUGUGAGAGAGCUUUGCGUCCCAUUAGCUAGUUGGAGAGGUAACGGCUCACCAAGGCGAUGAUGGGUAGCCGGCCUGAGAGGGUGAACGGCCACAAGGGGACUGAGACACGGCCCUUACUCCUACGGGAGGCAGCAGUGGGGAAUAUUGGACAAUGGACCAAGAGUCUGAUCCAGCAAUUCUGUGUGCACGAUGACGUUUUUCGGAAUGUAAAGUGCUUUCAGUUGGGAAGAAAAAAAUGACGGUACCAACAGAAGAAGUGACGGCUAAAUACGUG